Molecule: non-coding RNA, 1120 nt
Organism: Peromyscus maniculatus bairdii (prairie deer mouse)
Lineage: Eukaryota; Metazoa; Chordata; Mammalia; Rodentia; Cricetidae
Source: RefSeq, a predicted model, not a curated record
UACUGAAUUUAGAGGCAAAAAAUUUGGGACUAACACACACCUUCUCAUUCCCUACAGAGAAAUUCCACACAAUCUUCUCCCACAUCGUUGCCAAGUGCAUCUUUCUGCUGGAAUGAUCUCUCCUUGCUUCAGCGUAUAACUCAAUUGCCUGUUAUCCUUAAAGGGAUUUUGACGAAAGAGGAUGCAGAAUUAGCAGUGAAACACAAUGUCCAAGGCAUUCUUGUUUCCAACCAUGGUGGGAGGCAGCUUGAUGAGGUUCCUGCUUCAGUAAGUAGGAUGACUACAGGGGAGUAUGUCUGAAUGCUCUAUACAUGUCUACACCAAAACCCCCUCCUAAAUCUGGUACACAUUGUCCUCUCACUUAUCAUGGGUAUUACCUAUUGAUUUUAAGGAAGGUUAAUUACUAAAAAAUACAUUAUACACCUGACUAUCUUUGUGAACUGUAUGUGUAACAUAUCUAAACCUUGUGAGACUGCUGAAAAACAGAUACAUCCUUAUUGCACAGUUAGGAUACUGGAGUCUAGAGACAUCAACUAAUGUGUACAAGUUCACAAUAGAUAAUGAGGUAGACUAAGGGAGAUGUUCAAAGGCAUUGAGGACCCUGUCUUCAGCCAGCAGUGACCAGAUUAAAGCUGAUGUGUCUUCAUGGAUUUUUAGAAACCAAGAUAUCCUAUCUGACACAAUGUAGGGAGGAACAGCACCUCACAUGGACACAUAAGUGUUUUACAUAAUGGAUCUGAAAUGCCCUGAUUCACUAGUGCAUAGUACACUGAUAAAUCAUUUAUUAAGAGCUACACUAGCUUACACUAGCUCACAAACAUGUGUCCGUUCUACAAGCUGUGUGUGAGAAAGAAAAUGAGCAAAGGGAAGUAGGGAAAAUCUUUAAAUGGGAAUUGGUUGUUAAUUUGUCUUCAUAGAUGUGUUUAUGCUAUAUUUUCCCCAAAGCUAUUCUAUUUUAACAAACAGAAGUGAAGCUUUUUCCUCCUUAGUUCCUUUUGCCUCAUAAAAUAUCCCUGAACAAAAGGAAAUGAUUAAAAAACACCCCUAAUUUUUAUCACAAUCAUUGGUUGGUUGUUAUUGGUACUUGUUACAAAUAAAUUUUUUUUUGGUUUAAAAAAUA